Molecule: long non-coding RNA, 1112 nt
Filed under: Urocitellus parryii (Arctic ground squirrel)
Lineage: Eukaryota; Metazoa; Chordata; Mammalia; Rodentia; Sciuridae
Description: lncRNA (ENSUPAG00010023960.1)
Source: RNAcentral
UUUUAGUUGUUGAUAGACCUUUAUUUUAUUUAUUUAUAGGUGGUGCUGAGAAUYGAACCCAGUGCCUCACACAUGCCAGACAAGUGUGCUACCACUGAGCCCCAGCCCCAGGCCUAAGAACGCUAAUUUAUGAUGUGUUGCCCACUAUUCCUCGUGCUUCAGAGAUACCAGCUCAGCCAUUCCUGCAACAGGCCCACGGAGGAUUCCCACUUUGUAGAUGCAGACACUGAGGCAYAGAAUGGUUAAGGCACUUGCCCCAGGUCACAUGCUGGUGAGUGGAGGAGCCAGGAUCUGAGUCCAAGGCCUUGUGUUACCCUGGACCGAACGUGCCUGGGACCAGUUCGGUAGCGCUGGAGAGACCAAGAGCUCCCCAGACAGAUGGAAUUCAAAGACACAAAUGUCACAUCCGUUUGUCGUUGUCUAUUUAGAGGCAACUUGCAGGGAGGGCUGGGACGGCAUGGACAAGUGUACCCAUUUCCUUCUUCUGGCCAGGUAUGAGGGAGCUUUGGACCAUCCAUCAGUUGUCAGGGACAUUGGGACGAAACCCUCUAAAGGUAAGGGAGACAGAUACAAUUUUUCAACCAGUUUGAUGGGUAGACUCAGCUGGCAGUGCCGCUCCCUCUCCUGAGACCAACAACAAGGAAUGCCUCCAGGGGAAGAGCACGUCUCGUCUCUGAGGAAUGAGGACUGUGUGGGCAGUGCCGAGCAGACUGGGAAGUAGGUGCCUGCAUGGACCCCAAAUAAGCGGGACAGCUUAGUGCUCAGAUAGAAAGUCCCCAAGAACAGGUGACCAGGAAAACUCCUGCUAUUAACAGUGGUCCCAGAGGGAGGACUGGGAGGGACCACUUAGCCAGGGAAGCUGCUCUGAUAUCAGAAAUAAGAUGGAACCAUGGCGUUCGCCCACUCUCUGCCUUUGGCUGGGAUGACACCGACACUUUGAGAUGGCCUGAGAAGAUGAAUAUUUCAUAGACAAACCUGUUCCCAGGCCAGAGUUCACUGAGUGUAGUCAAGGCCAACAAGCAGAUUUUGCACCUAAGCCAAGUCAAAUUGAUUCAUGGUGACUGCAGAAGCACCGAGUUCAACGGGAAUUUGAGCCUGGAUCUGAGGCAGAA